Molecule: long non-coding RNA, 307 nt
Organism: Dipodomys ordii (Ord's kangaroo rat)
Lineage: Eukaryota; Metazoa; Chordata; Mammalia; Rodentia; Heteromyidae
Exons: 3
Source: RefSeq, a predicted model, not a curated record
CUGCGGCCCUGGGCUGUGCUCCGGCGCUCCCCUCGUCCAGAGGCAUUCUCCUGAGCUACCAGAAGGGGGUGCAUCCAGAACAGGUGUAUAUAACCCACACGAGCUUCCUGGAUUUCACACAGAGGGUCAUGGUGGAGGGCAGAGCUAACAUUCAGGAUGCACCCUCUCUCCUCCCUCCCCCUCCCCCCACCCCGCCCGCAGCGGCUAAGCUGGUGGAGCUUCUCUAAGGCAAAGAGAACUCCUGGGUGUGUGUGGGAGCACCACCUGCCCGGGGUGUUGCACUCACACCGAGGAGUCCCUGGUUUUA